RNAcentral lists this ribosomal RNA (512 nucleotides) under uncultured bacterium. Its description in RNAcentral is "partial 16S ribosomal RNA". It matches the Rfam family "Bacterial small subunit ribosomal RNA", at positions 28 to 507 of the family's 1533-position model. The record is from RNAcentral.
GACGAACGCUGGCGGCGUGCCUAAUACAUGCAAGUCGAGCGAGCGGAACUAACAGAUUUACUUCGGUAAUGACGUUAGGAAAGCGAGCGGCGGAUGGGUGAGUAACACGUGGGGAACCUGCCCCAUAGUCUGGGAUACCACUUGGACACAGGUGCUAAUACCGGAUAAGAAAGCAGAUCGCAUGAUCAGCUUUUACAAUGCGGCGUAAGCUGUCGCUAUUGGAUUGCCCCGCGGUGCAUUAGCUAGUUGGUAAGGUAAAGGCUUACCAAGGCGAUGAUGCAUAGCCGAGUUGAGAGACUGAUCGGCCACAUUGGGACUGAGACACGGCCCAAACUCCUACGGGAGGCAGCAGUAGGGAAUCUUCCACAAUGGACGCAAGUCUGAUGGAGCAACGCCGCGUGAGUGAAGAAGGUUUUCGGAUCGUAAAGCUCUGUUGUUGGUGAAGAAGGAUAGAGGUAGUAACUGGCCUUUAUUUGACGGUAAUCAACCAGAAAGUCACGGCUAACUACGUG